UGCAAGUCGAACGAUGAUGCCCAGCUUGCUGGGCGGAUUAGUGGCGAACGGGUGAGUAAUACGUGAGUAACCUGCCCUUGACUCUGGGAUAAGCCUGGGAAACUGGGUCUAAUACUGGAUACUACCUCUUGCCGCAUGGUGGGUGGUGGAAAGGGUUUUACUGGUUUUGGAUGGGCUCACGGCCUAUCAGCUUGUUGGUGGGGUAAUGGCUCACCAAGGCGACGACGGGUAGCCGGCCUGAGAGGGUGACCGGCCACACUGGGACUGAGACACGGCCCAGACUCCUACGGGAGGCAGCAGUGGGGAAUAUUGCACAAUGGGCGGAAGCCUGAUGCAGCGACGCCGCGUGAGGGAUGACGGCCUUCGGGUUGUAAACCUCUUUCAGUAGGGAAGAAGCGAGAGUGACGGUACCUGCAGAAGAAGCGCCGGCUAACUACGUGCCAGCAGCCGCGGUAAUACGUAGGGCGCAAGCGUUGUCCGGAAUUAUUGGGCGUAAAGAGCUCGUAGGCGGUUUGUCGCGUCUGCUGUGAAAGCCCGGGGCUCAACCCCGGGUCUGCAGUGGGUACGGGCAGACUAGAGUGCAGUAGGGGAGACUGGAAUUCCUGGUGUAGCGGUGAAAUGCGCAGAUAUCAGGAGGAACACCGAUGGCGAAGGCAGGUCUCUGGGCUGUUACUGACGCUGAGGAGCGAAAGCAUGGGGAGCGAACAGGAUUAGAUACCCUGGUAGUCCAUGCCGUAAACGUUGGGCACUAGGUGUGGGGGACAUUCCACGUUUUCCGCGCCGUAGCUAACGCAUUAAGUGCCCCGCCUGGGGAGUACGGCCGCAAGGCUAAAACUCAAAGGAAUUGACGGGGGCCCGCACAAGCGGCGGAGCAUGCGGAUUAAUUCGAUGCAACGCGAAGAACCUUACCAAGGCUUGACAUUCACCGGACCGCCCCAGAGAUGGGGUUUCCCUUCGGGGCUGGUGGACAGGUGGUGCAUGGUUGUCGUCAGCUCGUGUCGUGAGAUGUUGGGUUAAGUCCCGCAACGAGCGCAACCCUCGUUCUAUGUUGCCAGCACGUGAUGGUGGGGACUCAUAGGAGACUGCCGGGGUCAACUCGGAGGAAGGUGGGGAUGACGUCAAAUCAUCAUGCCCCUUAUGUCUUGGGCUUCACGCAUGCUACAAUGGCCGGUACAAAGGGUUGCGAUACUGUGAGGUGGAGCUAAUCCCAAAAAGCCGGUCUCAGUUCGGAUUGAGGUCUGCAACUCGACCUCAUGAAGUCGGAGUCGCUAGUAAUCGCAGAUCAGCAACGCUGCGGUGAAUACGUUCCCGGGCCUUGUACACACCGCCCGUCAAGUCACGAAAGUUGGUAACACCCGAAGCCGGUGGUCCUAACCCCUUGUGGGAGGGAGCCGUCGAA
Molecule: ribosomal RNA, 1399 nt
Filed under: Kocuria rosea
Lineage: Bacteria; Bacillati; Actinomycetota; Actinomycetes; Micrococcales; Micrococcaceae
Description: bacterial SSU rRNA
Rfam family: Bacterial small subunit ribosomal RNA
Source: RNAcentral